RNAcentral lists this ribosomal RNA (460 nucleotides) under uncultured bacterium. Its description in RNAcentral is "partial 16S ribosomal RNA". It matches the Rfam family "Bacterial small subunit ribosomal RNA", at positions 338 to 795 of the family's 1533-position model. The record is from RNAcentral.
CCUACGGGCGGCAGCAGUGAGGAAUAUUGGUCAAUGGACGCAAGUCUGAACCAGCCAUGCCGCGUGCGGGAAGACGGCCCUAUGAGUUGUAAACUUCUUUUGUACGAGGGCAAACGCCGAUACGCGUAUCUUUCUGAAAGUACCCUACGAAUAAGCAUCGGCUAACUCCGUGCCAGCAGCCGCGGUAAUACGGAGGAUUCAAGCGUUAUCCGGAUUUAUUGGGUUUAAAGGGUGCGUAGGCGGGCGGAUAAGUUAGCUGUGAAAUCCCGAGGCUCAACUUCGUAAGUGCCUCUGAUACUGGUCGGCUAGAGAGUAGGAGCGGUAGGCGGAAUGUAUGGUGUAGCGGUGAAAUGCUUAGAGAUCAUACAGAACACCGAUUGCGAAGGCAGCAUACCGAGCUACAUCUGACGUUGAGGCACGAAAGCGUGGGGAGCAAACAGGAUUAGAUACCCGGGUAGUC